Cryptomeria japonica (Japanese cedar) is the source of this 829-nucleotide long non-coding RNA. RefSeq lists it as uncharacterized. Lineage: Eukaryota; Viridiplantae; Streptophyta; Pinopsida; Cupressales; Cupressaceae. The record is from RefSeq and is a predicted model, not a curated record. The transcript has 3 exons.
ACACUCAAACGGUCUUGUUUUUUUUAUAUUACUGUUUUGAAAAAGCUGGAUUUCAUCUCUAUUUAUGGGUAGUUCAUCUGCGAAGAGGGGCAGAUUGUGCUAUUUUAAUUUUUUUUUGUUUGCCUUUCAGAUUGUUCCCUUUUCUGUUUUUGGUUCUUUUGUUUCUGGCAUGGCCAUGCCCUUUCUUGCUUCUGCUUCUGAGUUUUUUCUUUUUCAUUUUUCAUUCAUGGUAUUUUGUAAAUGUUUUGUGUGGAUGGUAAUUUUUCAAUGGUAAAUUAGUUCGACUCUGAUAGGCCCUAUUUUUUGUUUGCUCAUUAUUUUUCUUCGCCAGGAAGUUUCUUGGCCUUCACAAGUAAUUAAGGCCAAGUAAUUCCACAAUUGUAGAAGUCGUUUCUGGGUUGUACAUUUUGCUGGCUCAGGCUUCACUACAAUCUCUGGAGUUGCCCAUGGAGCUGGCUCAGGAGUAGCGGUGGGCCCAGGGUUGGUUGCUUAGUCAUGUACUGCUUUCUUUUCCUUCUUGUAUGUACUGUUUUCUUUUCCUUUCUUAAUUAUGUACUGCCUAUCUUUUCCUUGCUUGUAUUGACGUACUCCAUGUCUUUUCCUUGUUUGAGUAUAUUUAGUUGUUUUUGUUUUGUUUGAUUAAUAGAAAAAUCAGACAUUUGCUUUGUCUGCUUUGUCUGCUUGUUGACCCUGUUUUAAUGGCAGGGAGAAGUCUAUAAAGAAGCCAAGGGUAUUGCCCAGGAAGAGGUCAAAGAGUAAGACAUCGGGCGAGAAGAAGAAAAAGCCAAGAAGGAGAAGAAGGUUAAGGAUUUGCCAAAAAGACACAGAC